CAAAGGAAUUGACGGGGCCCGCACAAGCGGUGGAGCAUGUGGUUAAUUCGAUGCAACGCGAGAACCUUACCUGGGCUUGACAUCCCGAGAAUCCCCUGGAAACAGGGGAGUGCCCUUCGGGAGCUCGGAGACAGGUGCUGCAUGGCUGUCGUCAGCUCGUGUCGUGAGAUGUUGGGUUAAGUCCCGCAACGAGCGUAACCCUUGUCUUUAAUUGCCAUCAUUGAGUUGGGCACUUUAAAGAGACUGCCGGUGUUUAAACCGGAGGAAGGUGGGAUGACGUCAAGUCCUCAUGGCCUUUAUGCCCAGGGCUACACACACGCUACAAUGGGAAGGGACAAUAGGUUGCGAAGCCGCGAGGCGGAGCCAAUCCAGCAAAACUUCCCUCAGUUCAGAUUGCAGGCUGCAACUCGCCUGCAUGAAGUUGGAGUUGCUAGUAAACGCAGGUCAGCCAUACUGCGUUGAAUACGUUCCCGGGGCUU
This 479-nucleotide ribosomal RNA is filed under the name uncultured Syntrophus sp. Its description in RNAcentral is "bacterial SSU rRNA". It matches the Rfam family "Bacterial small subunit ribosomal RNA", at positions 902 to 1382 of the family's 1533-position model. Lineage: Bacteria; Pseudomonadati; Thermodesulfobacteriota; Syntrophia; Syntrophales; Syntrophaceae. The record is from RNAcentral.